UGAAACCCUAAAGCAGAUAAAAGGAAGUUGGGGUUUCGGAAGAGCAUGGAUUAAUGGAUGAAGACGAUUAACGGACAACCGGAGGAGGAUAUGAUCGGUUAUGCGCAUUUUGCAGCCGAUAUAUGCUGUCACAUAAACCUAGCCUAACACGUAAGCGAUGACAUGGCAAGAAUUUAAAGCGUCGAACUACCGCAACGACGUCGUAUUGAAGGCGAAUCGUAAGGAGCAAGGAUCGAAUGUUCAAGCGCCUCCAUAUAAACUCAAGACUUCCUUGACCUAAAAUAACACAUCUGCGAACUACCACCGUUACAUGGAUGAGAAUCAUUCGAAUGGUGUAACCAACGAAGACAUGGCCAUCAAUCUACUGCAAAUCCAGCUGAAACUGUCUCUUAUACGGGAGGACAUCCAUGACCAGUUGCGUGAGCUCCGUCAGGCAGUUAAUCGAGACUUGGAUGCCAUGAACCGUGAGGUCGAUGACGUUCAUGCAGGUCAGUUGGAUAUCUCAAAUCUCGUUGCUGAUCUUAAAAAUCAGUUCGUUUCUCUGCAAGGAGCAUAUGUGAAGAUGGUCUUCUAGCACAACAAAUGUAAGAAGCUGAAGUAUUGUAUUGAGAUUGUUGGUGUAGUUACUGUGUCUAUGGUGAUGUAUAUGUUCUUUAACUAAAAAAAGUUGUGUAGGUUGAAGCAUUUCAGUCUUGGGUUUGUGUUUUGGUGUGUUAUUUAUGUUGUUUAAUGUCAAUAUUAGUAGUAGAUUUUGUGUGUGUUGCUGGCAUUAGUUUGUGAUGUUGGUGUGUAGAUUUGAUGGUGGUGUUGCCUGGGCUGCUGAUGGUCAUCGUUUUUCGAUGAAGUUUUUUGUCGAUGAUCUCUGUAAUAGGUUAUUCAAUAGCAGAAAGUGAUGUAAACAAACCCAUGGCUGAAAUGUGUUUUAAUAUGUUAUUAUUAAAAAAAAUUGUCUUACACCUA
Non-coding RNA from Lactuca sativa (garden lettuce), 960 nucleotides. Lineage: Eukaryota; Viridiplantae; Streptophyta; Magnoliopsida; Asterales; Asteraceae. The record is from RefSeq and is a predicted model, not a curated record.